RNAcentral lists this long non-coding RNA (22296 nucleotides) under Solanum tuberosum (potato). RNAcentral describes it as "long non-coding RNA (STUB_LNC008468)". Lineage: Eukaryota; Viridiplantae; Streptophyta; Magnoliopsida; Solanales; Solanaceae. The record is from RNAcentral.
UGGUAAUGGUUUGUUGAUUCAUCUUGAUUAUUGACUGGUUUUCACUUGUAGAAUCUCAACUAUAGUCUAGUGGGUUUCUUUCUUUCUUUUUCUAUUUUCUUCUUUUGUUGGGGGUGAAGAUGUAGAAGAUGUUGCUUAAAUUUGAAUUGCCUUUUAGUAUCACUGUUUGCUUACAUGAACAGCUCGUAUGUCCUAAAAUGAAAUGAAACCUCUAUAUCUAGAUGGCCUUCCAAUAGGAAGUACAUAGUAAAAUAGCACAAUUAGGCAGGAUUUAUAGUCUAGACCAAUAGAGGGAAAUCUCGUUGUUCAUACUCUUAUAUAAUGUACAGACAUAUUUAAUUGUUCCAAGGGGCGCGCUGUCUUAGAUUUAGUUCAGAGCAGAAGUUGCAACCACUGCACAUAAAUGAUUUGUUAGCUUGUGGAGUGAGUUAGGAGUAAACAGAACAUAAGGAUGUUUAUUUGGGGCCUUUUACAUAGUUAAGUCAGAAUUUUCUUUCCAAAGUCUUCAGAUAGUCUAGUUUUUGAAUGGAAAUAGGUAGAUAGGUGUACUAGUUCGACUGCAAGUGUCUUCAGUUCACUCACAAACUUGUGGAGUGAACUCUUCUUCCAACAAGGUUUGGAUAUAGUAGUUUGAUCAGUGUUUAAUUUUUGAAGACUUGUUAUAUUUUUUUUUGAGACAAAAGACUUGUUAUAUUUUCUUCAAAAAUAUAUGCAACACUCUCCAAAUUGUAUGUUACUUAGUUUACCUGUGUUAGACUUAGAAGAGCUUAAAUGGGGAACAUGGAUGGUGGAGAUUCAUUUAGCUGACCCCAAGGUUCAGCAGUAUGAAAACUAAAGAACCGUACUGGAUUUAUUAUUGAACUUCACUCUUACCACCAAGUUUGUGUUAAUAGAUGAAGUAAGUGCGGUGGGAGACUGUCACAUCUAAAAACUUGGGAGGACUUGGAAUUAAAGAACUAAAAGUAUUUAAUAAAGCAUUAUUGGGCAAAAAUAUGGAGGUUUGGGGUGGAAUUACAAGAUUGGAAGGGGGUGAUAGUGGACAAAUAUGGGAUUACAGAGGGGUUUGGAAAACUAGAGAUAUUGUUUUGCCUUUUGGUUGUGGUUUGUGGAGGAAUAUCAUAAAGGGAUGGGAUUAUUUUGUGGAAAAUAUCUCACUCAAGGUCGGAGAUAGGAGGAGAGUUUACUUAUGGAAACAUAAAUGGAGUGGAAACGUAUUAUUGAAAGACAAAUUCCAAAGUUUGUACAUAAUUUCUUGCCAAAGAGACUUGACAGUCUGACAUAUUAGGGAGGACACUAGGUGGAGAGAAUUUUUUGGGAUUUGAGAUUUAGAAGAGGUUUUCAAGAUUGGGAAGUGAGUGAGUUUCAAAGAUUGAUAGACUUACUCCAUAGGCAAACUAAUCCAGUGGAUAUUCUCGAUGUUUGGUGGUAGGGCUUAGUUAACAAUGGAGUGUUCUCUGUGAAGUCUUUUUAUGAGAAACUUGUAGUCAGGGAGGAGAAUGAUUUCCCACGUGAUGCAGUAUGGGUUCCAAGUGUGCCGAGGUAGUGUGCAUUUUCUCUUGGCUAGCUACUAGAGGGGUGAUUUUGACAGCAAAAACUCUUAGAGAGCGGAGAGUUAUCUGAAUCAGUUGGUGUUACAUGUGCAAGGAGGAGGGUGAGGAUGUGGACCAUCUGCUUCUUCAUUGUGGAAUUACCAUGAAACUAUGGUGGCAAAUGUUUAAGUGGUUUUUCACCUCUUGGGUAAUGCCAAGAACUGUGAAAGAGUUGGUGUUCAGUUGGAAGAAUGGGAGAAGGAGGAGAAGAUGAAGGACUUGGAACAUGGUUCCUCUUUUGUUGAUGUGGGUAGUUUGGAGAGAGAGAAAUAGAAGAGAUUUUGAAGGAGUAGAAUCGAGUCUCCUUUAUUUUCUUUUGGUGGAAAUAGAAAGUACCUUGUUGUAUAGAUGAUUGGGCGGAGUUUGUAGAGAAUUAUAUUUUGUAGAAUCUUUAUCUUAUGGUAUGCCCCUUGUAUAAGUCCAAAUGUUUAUGAAUGAAAAUACCUUUUGAUCCCAAAAAAAAAAAAGAGCAAAUGUGUGGAAAAUAUAAUUCCCUUUACCCUUACAUGUUACCAUUUCAAAAAAAAAAAAAAAAAAAGCCCUUAACACUUUCCUUAUUAAAAGUUUUUACGUUCAGUUUCAUGAUAUUCUCUCCUAUUUGGUUUCUGCUCUUGUGAACUUUGAUCUAUCAAUUGCUAUUCAUCUGAAAGAGAUCAAUAUGCUCAUCUUGCCACUAUACUGGACACCUUUCACUUAAUCUUAAGCAUGUUAAGUUUUGAUUUCGUCAAGUAAUCCAGAUUAUAUAAAUUAGUGAUCAUUUGAUAAUUGGUUAAGAAAGGUGACUUAACUGAACAAUAGCUAUAUACUGUUGGGUUUUAACAGGAGAUAACAUAUACUAAUUCUAGUCAACAGAAUCGAUGUAUUAAAAGACUGAUUUUUUUUGUGAAAUAAUCUAUACCCAAUAGGCCAAAAAGUAUACUGAAUAUUUUAUGAAAUAAUCCAUAGAAACAAUCUGGUUUUGGCUGGUUGCAUGACCUCCAGUCAGGAUUGGUACAAACAGUUUAUUCAGAAAUAUCUGUGACACUUCAGAUCUUGGGCUAGCUUGAAGCAUUGUCUGGAAAAUCCUUGAGUAUGUCAGUGUAUGUGUGUAUAUUAUUAUGAAAUGUCUGCAGAGUUGAGUGAGUUAAGAAUUUUUUUUGCAGGCUCCAGUUUUGGAAAAAUACCCAGCAAGCAUAUCAUUGACAGCAUAUUCUUACUCUUUUGGCGUUCUAUUAAUGAUAGGGACGUCAUUCUUUGCGACUGAUGGAUCAACAAACUGGUAUUUGACACCAUCUGAAGUUGUUGCUGUGUUCUAUGCUGUAAGAUUCUCUUAAGCCUGAUCUUCAUUUUUCGCUGAUGCAUGAAAUGAGAUUUUAUUUAUCUUUGAUCAAGUCUCAAAAUGAUUUACCUCACAUAAAAAAGAAAGGCAUAAUACAUAAAUAUGUCCUUUAACUUGGCUUCAACUCACAUUUAUGCCCUCCAACUUUGAGUGUGCACAAGUAGACACUUAAUCUUGUAUAAAGUUGAGUAAAUAAACACACACGUCCUACGUGGCUUCCUACAUGGCAAUUUGCAUCCUCGUGGUGUCCUACGUGUAUUAUGCCACAUAGGAUCCAUGCGUCUACUGGAUCAACUUUAUACAAGUUUAAGUGCCUACUUGUGCACAUCCAAAGAUGGAGGGCAUAAAUGUGAAAUGAGGUCAAAUUAAAGGGCACAUUUAUGUAUUAUGCCAAAAAGAAAUCUGAGACGAUAUACAAAAAUUCAAGAAAUGUGAUACCAGGUAUAAUUUGCUUUUUUUUUUGGUAAGUAAAUAUUUUAGUCAUCACCAAAGUAUUGAUUUUACAAGACCACAGCCAAUUAACACAUUGGCUGUCUAAGAGCAAAAAAACAACAAAAACACCCCUGUUACUGAAGAAAAGCAAACUUGACUCGCCUCCUAGGGAGGGUCUCUAGUUCCUUUUAGAUAACAGGUAACUCAACUACUAAGAAAAGCAAAUACACUAGGGAUAGUGCUAGAAAUGACACUGAUGCAGUAGUUGUUGUAUGGGAGUUGAAGCUCGAAUAUUACAAGUGAAGGCAAUCUCCCUGGCAAUGCUUUUCAUUGAUCGACACUUAUCUUCAAAUACUCUUUGGUUUCUCUCCUACUAGACAGGAUGUACAUAUUCUGCAUAUACCAGUUUGAAAACAGGAGCUUUGUGAGAUCUCCCUUUGGCCUGCAUAAUUGCACAGUGCAUAUGAUCAGUCCAGUCUCUUGGCCUACAAGGUGCUCUAUGGAGCCAUCUUAAAGUCUAUCCCAUAGACUCUUGGCGAAGGGACAGCACAUAGAGAUGAUCUCUUGUCUUUAGUGUUGCUUGACAAAACACACACCAUGUUUCAAUUGAUCAAUCUAUCCUUUGUGAGCAGCCUACCUUGGAAAUUAAGCCACAUAAUGAAGAUAGACUUAGCUCUUGCUUCAUUCCUGAACAUGAAACAUUUUCAAGACACUUAUAUUGUCCCCUAGCAGGUGCAGAUACACUUGUCUAAUAAGACUCUUCCUGUUCAAAUUGUGGAGUUGACUGUGAUUCACAACACUUAUUUAAAUGAUUUUCUUAACAUAUCAUCAAUUUUUCUGACCCUUUAUGUAAAGCAUAUGAAUCCACUUCAUCCACAUAACAUCUUGUUUGUGUGUCGAAUCCCAGAAGCUCUCGCGUAGGACAGCCUUAUUCCAGAGCUUGAGAUUGAUCAGGUUAAUUGUUGUUGUUAAAAUCAUAAUUAAGUACACGGUGCUCUCUCCCAACAACUUAACUUUUUUCACGAGGUGGUCAAAUAAUUUAACAUGGUAUGAAAGCCAAGACCUAUCCCUAGAACGUGGUCCUUUUUUACAAGUGGAGUGAUCUAAUUUUCUCUUGAACUAUGCAAAAUGAUCCAGAUUUACCCUUGAACUUUGAAGAACAGGGUCAAUACUGUUCAUACUUCCUUCCACUAAGUUGCUAUUUUAAUUUGCGAUCAUCAAUGCAUCAUGUUUUAAAUUAGCUUCUGAAUGUUUCAUAGUGGAUUCUCAUUCAUCUGUCUAUAACAUCUCAUCCCAUAUGGUAAGUAUGUAGAUGGACACACUUUUUAGUUGGGAUGAAAUGAAAUAGUUUCGUCAUAAUGGUUAAUGUCUUUCAGGGAAUUGUUGCAUCAGCGCUGAACUACGGACUUAUGACAUGGUGCAAUAAGGUUCUUGGCCCUUCUUUAGUUGCUUUAUACAAUCCACUUCAACCUGCUGCAUCAGCAAUUUUGUCUAGUAUUUUUCUUGGGAGCGCUAUUUAUCUGGGAAGGUUAGUGCUCUGAUUUAUUCUGAAUGUCUAUCAUGCUCCGAAAAAAGCAAAACAUUUAUAUCCGUCUAUGUUCUCAUAUCUUUGGUUUAUACUUGUUUUGUCACAAUGAGAACCAAAAAGACAUGAGGGUAAUGUGAAGCUCUCCUGCUGGAAAUUUGCCAUGUUUUCUUUCUGAUUUACUUUCUUUUGGAGAUUGGUUCAUGCGAAACUAUGAAAUGUUCCACUUGCUGAGUUGCAUAUGAUUUUUUCUUUCCGGUCCAUCUUCUAGUUGUUCGUUGUUAGCCUUUGUUCUAAGAUAUUUCCGUGCAUUGUGAUUGCAGCAUUUUGGGAGGAGUUCUCAUUAUAGCUGGGCUUUAUUUAGUAACUUGGGCAUCUUACAGAGAGAUGCUGGCAGCCAAGGGAACUGUUCCUCAUGCGCCUCAGAUGACGGAUCCCCUAAUCCCAUAUCAGACAGGACACAUUACCUCUGUUCCUUCUUCCUCAGUGCCAUAGAUCAGUGAUUAGAUAUUGCUGCAGAUAUUAUUUGCAUGUCCUUUUCUUCAUCUUCUUUAUUAUAAUAUGUAAGUUCACUGCUAAAAAGAAUGACAGUUAUGUAUUGCAGUUCUAUCAAGUUCUUAAGUAAACUCUUCCUGCAGAAAUUUUCUUCUCAUGUUCGUGUCUUUUUUUUUUUCACCCUUCCUAGGAGCUCCCCACCCCUUUUGCUCCCUUGGUGACUUGAACUCGCAACCUUCGAAUUGGAAGUGAGGGGUGCUUACCAUCCGAACAACUCCCUCUCGUCCAUGUUCCUGUCUUGUUUCACUGCCAACAAUUUUAUUUCAUUUACUAUUUUUUACUCAAAAGCACCAGAUUCUACCAAAAUGGUCAUUCCACCAUCACUCGAUUAUAAAGGGUUGGAACACUCUCUGAAAUCUAUCUUGAUGUGAUGAUAAGAUGGAUAGUAUUCAAGGCUAGUCUAUUAAUAUGAUAUUUGUGACAUUGCUUGCUCAAAUAGUAAGAUUUAAGAACACAAUUUUUUGAUUAUGCAAUUUAAAUAACUUAUCUUGAUAAUGUUGUUGAGUUUAUAUUUCAAGUCUUUAAUGAUUAUUGUAUAUUAACCAAAUAACAAUUGAAUAUUCUGUUGCUCGUGUUCAUACUCAAAAUUGUCUAGAAGAAUCAUUUAUCAAAUGACUCUAAUUAAUUGCUAGACAAUUGUUUGUGAGAAUAAAAUUUUCAAUUUCGAUAUGAGGGCAUGCUCUAAAAAUUUCAUUUAUGGCAUUAUGAUUAUUGUAUCUUAACUUUAAUACAAGGAUUAUAUUAGCGAGUGCUUAUCCUUUUUCAAUUCAAAAAAGAUCAAUAAAUACAAGUAUUUUUCUAUUUUAUUAGACUUCUUUUUAUUGUUAUCUAAAUGAUAAUUUAGUGAUGAAUUAGUAUGAUUUUAUAUAUAUUACCUAUAUUAUGAGUUUAAAUGUAUAUGGAAUUUUAUUUUAUUUUAAUUGAUAUUACCUAUAUUAUGAGUUUAAAUGUAUAUGAAAUUUUAUUUUAUUUUAAUUGAUAAAAUGACAUUAAAAAGGAAAAAAUUACAUCUUACUUUUUUAUCCGUUAAAGAAUUUUUCUAUAUAUAUAUUUUUUUAAAGUAAAUAAGAAAAAUGUUCUUUAAAAACUAUAUUGUUAUCAAGAAAAAAAAUAUACUUUAAAAAUAACAAUAUAUUUAUGAGAAAAGGAUACAUAUAACCCAUAAAAUAGCAAUAUGUUUGUCAAGAAAAAAUAUUUUUGACCCAAUACAAUAGUAAGAUACAUUUUUGAAUCAAAUCAUUAAAAAGGACAAUUUUAUUGAAUAAAUGGCACAGCAUGACAACCUAUAGAAUAAAUUGGCAAAAAAUAGCCCAUUUUUAAUUUAUUGGCAAAAAAAGGACUUUCUUUUAUUUAUUUGGUAUUCAAUAGUUAUUUUGCUUUUUCUUAAAAAUUGUAUUUCUAUUCCCCUUAUUUUUCUCUAAACACGUUUGAUUGCUUCCUUUUUUUUCUUUGAAAAGGUAAAAAUUUUAAAUGUUUUAUUUAUUCCUUUUUUAUCUCUCCUUUUUGUUUGUCAACCAUUUUAAAAUAGACUUCUUUCUCUUUUUUGUCUCCUUUAUUUUCUUUCUAGAAUUAUUUUUAUAUGUAUAUUUGUUUCUCUCCCAAUUUUUUUAUUUUUCUCCUUAAUUCACUUUGUUUAUGAAAAUCAGAUAUAACAAUAUGUUUAUUCAUGGAUACUUCUAAUAAUACUAUUUUAUAUAUAAUUUUGUGCUUGUCCAAUUAAUUGUUGAAUUUCAUGAUUUGUGGAAUUGAGGUUUCUUCAAUUUUGUUUUUGCGAAAAUUUAGGUUAUUAAUCCUUUUUUUUAAUUUUUAAAUUUCUAAAAAUCUUUUUCACAUGUAUAUUUGUUGCUCUUCUAAUUUUUUUCUUAUUCUCCUUAAUUUACUUUGUUUAUGCAAAUCAGAUGUAUGUUUAUCCAUUGGUCCUCCCAAAAUCUUCUUUUAAUAUAUAAUUAUGUAGUGUUUUUUUCCACUUAAUUUUGAAAUUUUGUGAUUUGUGAAAUUAAAAAAAUUUAAACUUUUUUUUUUUGCAAAAAUUCAGGUUAUAGUAUUUGGAAUUUUUGUUUUCAAUUUCAUGGGUAAUAAAUGUUGAUUUUGAUGAAUACAAACCAAUGUAUACCAAUAAAUGUCAAUUUCAAUUUGAAUAAAUGUAUACAAAUUUAUUAGGUAAAUACAGACCAAUGAAUACAUAAAUGAAUACGAACCAAUGUAUACAUAGUGCAGUUACCGUAUACAUAACAAAAAAUCUACAUGUACAAAUAUAUGAAUAAAAUUUAAUUUGUACAUUUAUCAUAUUAACUUCAUUCUUGUAUUCAUUAUAGUUAUAACCUACAAUUGUUGGUAACAUUCUUAUGUAUACAUUAUAAGUUUAUGUAUACAUGCUACAGUUAUUGUAUACAUCAAUAAAAUUUACACGCCUAUAUUUAUGAAUGAUUUUUUGUGUAUACAUAUAGAUUUUUUUUAUGUAUACAUUAUGUAAUUGCAACUUCAAUUAUUUUAUAAUUUUUGCAUACGUGUUAUUACAGUUUCUAAUAAAAAGCAUUGCCUCUUAUAUUAUUUGAUUACUUAUUGUCAAUUAUUUGAUAAUUAAUACACGUUAAUUGAGCACUAAUAAUAUAUAUUUUUUACUUUAAAAGUAGUCGCCGUCUUUUGAUAAGUUAAUUAAAGAAUUAAAAAAAUCCUUCCUUNNNNNNNNNNNNNNNNNNNNNNNNNNNNNNNNNNNNNNNNNNNNNNNNNNNNNNNNNNNNNNNNNNNNNNNNNNNNNNNNNNNNNNNNNNNNNNNNNNNNNNNNNNNNNNNNNNNNNNNNNNNNNNNNNNNNNNNNNNNNNNNNNNNNNNNNNNNNNNNNNNNNNNNNNNNNNNNNNNNNNNNNNNNNNNNNNNNNNNNNNNNNNNNNNNNNNNNNNNNGUUUGAGAAUUUAAAGAAACUGAAAAGUUAACUUCCUUAAUUAUAGGAGUUAAAAAUAAGGAAGAAAAAAUAAUCCCACAUCUCCUUAAUUAAUGCUGGUUGGUUGCACAUGGUUUUAAAAAAAAAACUAUAAAAAGUCGUUAUAUUCCUUUAGGCUAUUACGUGCUUCUUCUUUUUUUGGACUAUUAAUUGCUAAUUAAUAUUGGGCUAUAUGUUGCCAAUUGUAUAUAGUAGUUGUAUGUCUGUGUCAAUUCCUCAAUUUUAUUCAUGGAUUUCUUAUUAUUUUCUCAAACAAGUCACCUUUGACAAUGGAAUUUUGUAUGUGGAACAACUUUUAACCUCAAAAUAGGAUUAGCUUCGUUAUCACUUAUCACAAAAUAGGAUAAUUGGAGUGAGGAGAGGAUUAGUGGUCGAACUCCUUAUUAAAGAUUUUUUCAUAUUCAAAAAAUUGAUCUUCCAUUGGACCACAUUAUUUAGCCAUAUUUUUUAUAUUGAGAAAUCCGAUCAUCCACAUCACAUAAUUAAACUUAUUCCUCUACCACAUAGUAGUGACCCAAGGGUCCUAUAGCAAUGGUACCAUAGAGUAUAUAUAGCCAUAUAAAAGCCAACUACUUUAAUGGAAUUUACUGCGCAAACAAAAAGGGGCCACAUAGGAAAAAAUAAUCCCACCUACCGGAUUAAAAAUAAUUUCAUAUUGUCUCACUAGUUAAUAAUUUUAUACUAGAUUUUUAUUCAAAUACAUCUAUACAUAAUUUUUGCGAUUAGAUACGCUGAAAAUAGGGAGAGGAGAGGGAGAACGGGAGGGAGGCGAGCGAGAUUUAUCUAUGUAUCUCAGAAAGACAAAAACAUACAAAUCUCAUUAGAUACAUGUAUCUGGGAUAUCAUAUACGCGAGCGAGAUAGGAAAGUGGCAAGCGAAAUAGGAGGGAGGUGAGCGAGAGUUGUUUAUAUAUCAUAGAUACAUGUGAAUUCACUUAGAUACAGUAUAUCUAGAACAAGUUAUACCUAAUUUUGACUUAUGUAUUCAAGAUACAUGUAUCUGGACACACCAGAUACAUGUAUCUAAAGUCUAAAAUCUGAUAAGAUUUGUAAUAUUACAUGCAUGUAUCUAAGUAAUUAGCUUCUCAAUUAGUGAGAUUUCGAUAAGUUACUCGUGAAAAUCAAUAGAAAAGUUACACACAAAUUGAUAUAAAAGAUGCUAGGUCUGUUUAUUUUAAGGGCAAACAUGAAGAAAAAUAAGAAGACAGCAUUGAUGAACCAAUAGAUUUUAGUUAAAUUCAACUCAUUAAUUAUUUGACAAAAAAAUAAAAAAAAUGUUUACUUUUGAUAAGUUUAGAAGAUGAAAAUUGCUCAAAGCAUAUUUAGGAGACUAAUUUUGAACUUGCCCCUGAAUGUAAGAGAUCAUUUUUUUGUUAUUUUCUUAUACGGUCAAACUUUAAUAUAAAGUAAAUACUUGAUAUACCUCUUAAUUUUGUCAUUUAAAGUUGUUAUUAUCCCUCGUUAUAAAAGUGACUUAUAUAUAUUCAUACAAUUACAAAAGUAAAAAAAUUAAUUUUAAACUCAUUUUUUUAAUUUUUUAGAAAAUCUUGUAUUUAAUUUAUCACAUAUAAAUUAUUUUUUGACUUCUUUAAUUAUUCUUAUUUUAAUUAUUCUUUCAUCAUUUAGUUUAAAAUUUAAGAGAAAUAAAAAGAAAGAAAUGUGAAUGGAAAAAGAUUAAAAAGUUUUUAAAAAAUUAAAAUUAAUUUUUUUUUGGAUAUAUAUAUUGUAAUUUAGUUUUUAUAUCUGUAAAAAUAUAUUUGGGGCAUCUAUAAUAAAUUUUACAAGAAAAUAAGUGAAAAAUAAAUUUGAUCAUCAAAAUAAUAAAUUCAAAUAGCAUAAAAAAAUGUAAGAGAAAAACCAAAUACCCCUUAUAUGGAUUAUCUUUCUUUUUAAUUAAAAAAAAUAAAAAGUAAAUUUAAAAUUAUUAUUUUCACUUUCAUUAGAGGAAAAUGGUAUAUGUGAGUCAUUUGUGUACCAAUAGGAGUAUAUGAUCACAUUCAUAACGAGAGAUAUAUCAGCUCUAAAUAACAAAGUUGUAUAUUAGGUCCUUUUCCCUUAUUAUAAAGCAUUUAAUAAUUUUUCCGUACGAAAAGAAAGAAAGUAUUUGUUAACUAAUUUAAUCAAGUAAAAUUAUUAUAGUAUGAACGUAAAAAAAAUGCAAACACCAGUAAUCUUUCCUCGUUAACUAUGAUUAAUGACUAAUAGACAUCAUGUAAAUACAAUUUCUUUUUCCUUUUAAAUAUUUAUAUUUAAAAUUAUCGUGUGCAUCACAUUAAUAAUAAUUAUAAUAAAUAUUUUAAUAUAAAAUAUUAUUAUACAAUAUUUGAGUAUGAAAAUCAUGGCCGUUAGUUGUUGGUGUACUAUAUAUAUAGGGUGUGUGUUGAGUGCAUGAAAUCAUGAUUUUUUAUUGUUCAAAAAAUCUUUUAUACUAAAAUGAUUAGGAUGUGUUAAGAUGACAUGUGAAUUCCAGUAUCGAUUUUUCUUUUAAUUAUCUUUUGUAUAUACAUACACUCGUUAACAAAUUAUUCUUUAUCUAUAUAAAUUCAACCGAUCUAACAUACACCUCAAGUUAAUCUUUUUACUAGUGAUACGUUUUGUAUAAAAAAUGACAUUCAUAACAUUCAAAUUAUGAAUCCACAUCUAAAAUAAAAAUCGAGUCACGAAGAAAAAUUAAGGAAGAGAAAGGAAAAAGAGGGAUAGAGAAGAGAAGAGCGAAAGACUCCCUCCGGCAAAAAUAUCUUUGUCAGUAUAUUUUUUUGGUUCCAUUUUUUAUGAGUUAGUUUGAUUUGACACAACAUUUAAGAAAGAAAGAUUUUUGAAACUUUUGCGGUCUAAAAUAAGUGAGAGAUAUUUGUGUGACAAUAAAUUAUUUCAUUAAAGGUAAAAUGAGUAUUUAAAAGUUAAAAAUUGUUUGUUAAUAUAAAAAUCUGUCAUUCUUUUUUAGAUUGACUAAGAAAUAAAGUGAGUCAUAUAAAUUGAGACAGAAAAAGUAAAAAGGAAGAUAAAUUUAAAACCAGACACUUUGGAAGAUGCCAGACAUCAUUUCUUGAUAUUUAAGGGGUUAUUUUUUAUUUAUACAUACUUUUAGAAAACCCUCAUGCCUUCUCUGGAGACAGAGAUCUUACUGCUACCUCCGAGUCUGACAAUUUAGUUUUCUAGGUAAGUUUGAGUCUAUUUUCAAAUUGAUGUGAUUUCCAUUGUAACAUUCAUAUAGUUUAUCAACUAUAUUGCACCUAUAAAAACAGCAACUUUAAUGGAAUUUAGUACACAAGACAAACAAGGGAGCCACAUAGGAAAAAAUAUUAAGUUUGAAUAGGGGUCCACAUUCUGUCAAAAAUUAAGUACUCUUGUCCCUAAUGACUCGUUCACUUUUGAAUUGACACAUUUAUUAAGAAAAUAAUUAUUGACAUAAUAAGUUUAUCAUUUUACCUCUAUUAAUUAUAAAGUGGAUGGAUUAAAAAUUUAAGAUUUUUAAGAAAUUCUACCUUUUUCAAAGUAAUUAAUUGAGAGUAUAGUAAGUAAAAUUAUUUUGUCCUUUCUUGAUUUGUCAAAAUGGACAAGUAAUUAUGGACAAGUAUGAAAGGAAAAGUGGACAAGUAAUUAAGGAGUUGAUUUGUCAAAUUGGAUAAGUAAUUAGGGACAACUAUGAAAGGAAAAGUGAACAAAUAAUUAAGGAGAGGGAGGGAGUAUUAUUUUUGUCAUUAAUUAUUGUUGACAAAGAUAAAAAAAGCAUAUUUAGGAGACUAAUUUUGAAUUUGCCCCUAAAUGUAAGAGAUCAUUUUUUGUUAAUUUUUAAUACAUUCAAACUCUAUUUUAUAAUGAUAUUUCAUAAUUUUUCUCUUCAAAAAAGAAGGAAAGUAUUUGUUAAUCAAUUUAAUCAAGAAAAAUCCUUAAAGUACGAAUGUAAAAAUAAAGAUAGACACCACUGGUCUUUUCCUUGUCAACUAUGAUUAUUGACAUCAUGUAAAUACAAUUUUUUCCUUUUAGAUAUUUGUAUACUGAAAUUUACCGUAUGCAUGACAUUUUGAUGAUUUUGAGGAAACAAUAACACUCUUGAAUUUGACACAAAUUAUUAAUUUCGUCCUCAAAUGACAGCCGUAAAAACACCUUUGAUGCACUUCCGAUAUGCCACAUGACAUAGAAAGUGGUCUCAAACUCUUGUAGGAGCAUGUAAUUCUUAAUAAAAACCGAGAAAAGUGUUGAAAACACCUCUAAACUUGACGAGAAUUUAAGGGUGUAUUUCACUAAUGUUACAAGAUCGAGGAUGUAUCAUGCUGUUAGUUGUUGGUGUGCUAUAUAUAUAGAAGGGGUGGGGGGUGGGGGGUUGUGGAGUGGAUGAAAGAAAAAUGGCAGUAGGAAAUGGUGGUGAUGUAUGGAAAGCCCAUGGUGCAAUGGUUUUGGUACAACUUGUCAUUGGUGUUUACCAUGUGAUUACUAAGGUGGCUCUGGAUUUGGGCAUAAAUGAAAUUGUCUUCUGUUUGUAUAGAGAUCUUAUUGCUAUAUCUAUUCUUGCCCCAAUUGCCUAUUUCCAUGAAAAGUUAGUUCUUUUAUCUCUUUACAUAUAUUCCUUCCCCUUUUUGUUGUUUGCCUUAAAUCUGCAAUAUUUUUAGGUGAAGAUGAGGUGUAUUGGAGUAUCGGGAAAACAUAAUCAAUGUAAGUUACAAUAUUUCGAAAAGUAAGUUACAAUAUUUGGAAUUAUAUGAGCAUCACUCACAAAUGUAUAUAUGUUUUAUGUUUCUCUAUGUAUAGGAGGUCGAUGUCUCCUCUGAAUAAACGGCUAGUACUGUCAUUCUUCAUUUUAGGAUUAACUGGGUAAGUUUCGAUGUCCAAAGCAUGUAUAUUUGGAUUUGUUUUGUUAAUUUUCUUAGUUUUGUUAUACUUGAUAAAAGCCUAUUCAUGAAAAUGCCUUUUGGUAUUCUGACAGUAUUUUCGGUAACCAACUAUUGUUUCUUGUUGGUCUUGGCUACACAAAUCCGACUUAUGCUGCUGCUUUUCAACCUUCAAUACCAGUCUUCACGUUCAUACUUGCUGUACCCACGGGGUCAGUAAACAUUCAAAUCCCUUCAUCUCUUGAUUUUGGUUUAUAUGGUGCUGUUUUCGAAACAUUUGAGGUGAAAGAGUGUUUCUGUUUGUGCCAAAAACAACUUAGGUGCUCCUUUAUUUAUUGCAACUGCCAAACCCCCUAGUGAUAUUGUCUGUUCUGGUCCUAGAGCCCCAUGGCUUUAAAACGCGCAACUAGAGUGUAAGGCCUGCUUACUUAUACACCCAACAUCUCUUCUGUGUCAAUGUAUAAUUAUCUGAAGUAGUGAAGUGGAUCACAGAGAACAUGGGCCAGUCCAUUGUGCAUUUCUAGUAGACCUUCUCAACAUCAUUCAUAUUGUGUUAUUUAUGCAGUACAGAAACUACAAAACUUCUUACUGUGGAAGGUCAGACAAAAGUUGGAGGUACCAUCGUUUGUGUUUCUGGGGCUUUUCUAAUGGUUGUAUUCCGUGGUCCAAUGGUGUUUGGAGACGGCAUAUCAGAUUUCACAGCACAAAUUGAGAUAAGUGCUAAGGGUCAAUCAGAGCCUGCUGGAUGGCUACUAUCUAGUUUUCUGGUACUUGAUAAUUGGCACCUCGGCGUUUUAUGCUUAAUAAUGAACUGUAUGUGUGUGGCAGCAUACUUAGCUCUUCAGGUAAUCAUUAAUUUGGAUAGACUUGAUUGGAAUAAAUAGCAGACCGUUCUCAACGAUUAUACUGAAAGGCUAUGCACGAAAACAAACUGAUAUGAAAUGUAUCUGAGUAAAGAAUUUUUUGCAGGCUCCAGUUUUGAGAGAAUACCCGGCAAGCAUAUCAUUGACAGCAUAUUCUUACUCUUUUGGCGUUGUAUUAAUGAUAGGGACAUCAUUCUUUAUGACCAAUGGAUCAACAAGUUGGUAUUUGACACCAUCUGAAGUUGUGGCUGUGUGCUAUGCUGUAAGUCCCAAUCUUCAUUUUCGUUGAUGCAUGAAAUGAGUAGAAAAUAGUUUCGUCAUAAUGGUUAGUGUCUUUCAGGGAAUUGUUACAUCAGGGCUGAACUACGGACUUAUGACAUGGUGCAAUAAGGUUAUUGGCCCUGCUUUAGUUUCUCUAUACAGUCCGCUUCAAGCUGUUGCAACAGCAAUUUUGUCUAGUAUUUUUCUUGGAAGCGAUGUUUAUCUGGGAAGGUUAGUGCUUCUGACUUGCUUUCUUUUUUUAGAUUGGUUAUGAUCUUUCAUUUUUACAUUCCAUCUUCUAAUUAUUCAUUGCAGCAUUUUGGGAGGAGUUCUCAUUAUAGCUGGGCUUUAUUUAGUAACUUGGGCAUCUUACAGAGAGAUGCAGCCAGCCAAGGGAACUGUUCUGACGGAUCCCCUAAUUCCAUAUGAGAUCAUAGGACACAUUUCCUCUGUUCCUUCUUCUUCUUCGAUGCCAAAGAUCAAUGACUAGAUAUUGCUACAGAUAUCAUUUGCAUCUUCUUUAUUAUAUAUAUAAGUUCACUGCUAAACAGAAUGACAGAUAUGUAUCAAGUUAUUCUACCAAAACAUGUUUUAAGUAUGAAAGUUUUGUAGUCAUCAUUGAUAUUCCUUCACAAGAGAAUCUGAGUAACAAAACAAGAAAAACAUAUAUAGUUGCAAUCUAUGAUAGGCAGUUGCAUAGUAACAGAUCCUCAAAAUGGUCAUUCCACCGUCACUCGAUUACAGAGGGUUAAAACUCUCUCUGAAAGCUAGCCCUGUUGAUACGAUGAUAAAAUGGCUAGUCUAUCAACUUGACAUUUGGGAUAUUGUUUCUUCAAAUAAUAAGAUAACACAAUUUUCAGUGCGAUUUACUUAAUCCGUUUUUGAUAAUAUAGGUGAAUUUACAUCUCAAGUAUUUAAUAAUUAUUGUAUGUCAAAUGGAUAGCAACUGAACAUCUUAUUGCUCAUGUUCAUAUUAAAAAUGGUCUAGAAGAUUUAUUUAUCAAACAUCUCCGAUUAAUUGCUAGACCAUUGCUUGAGAACAAAAUUUUUCAUCUUAUAUUAAUUAUAUUAUUUACUCGCAAAAUUGUUUAUUUAUUUUUAAAUGUGAACUGUAACAAUAAAGUUUUAUGACAUAAAAUCAUCAUUUAACAUUUAUAUUAGUUAUUAUAGUACCAAAUUAUUAAGAUAAAUAACGAUAUCUAUGAAACUGAUGAACAACAUACUCAAAGGUUUUAUUUAUGCUAUAGUUCAUGGACUUCUUUUCACAUUUAGUUAAGUGUUCCUGUUGUUCAAAAAAAGCUUUUACUCAAAUGAUUAAAAUUUGUUCGAAUAACGUAGGAAUUGCAGUAUUGAUUUUUUUAAUUAUUUUUUUUGUAUUAUAUACCCUUUAAUGAAUUAUUAUUUUAUAACUGAAUAAUAUAAAUUGAACUAAUCUAACGUACACCUCAAGUUAAUUUUCUUGCUUGCAGUAGAUUUAUAAUAAAGUUGAUAUUUAUAAUAUUUAAAUUCUAAAUUCGUCUCUGAAAUAAUAAUUGGAUCAUAAAGGAAAAUGAAGGAAAGAGAGACACAAGAAGAAGAAAAGCCAGAGGUAACUUAGUUCAUUGAAAAAAAAAGAUACAAUCAAUACACUACUAGAAUAUAAUAAAAAUACAACUAAUAAUAUAACGGCAAAAACAUCUUUGCUUAUAUGCAUAAAAAUGUAAUAUAGAAAAAAAAGAAUAAAAAAUUAAGACCAAACACUUUGAAAGAUAUUAGACGUCAUUUCUUGAUAUUUAGCUAGCGUUUGGUCAUAGAUUUCUAAAUAUUUUUGGCAAAUAUUAUUUGGGUGAAAAUUUGGGUGAAAUUUCAUCAUGUGUUUGGCCAUAGUAUUUGGGAAACAUAUUUGACUUUUUAAGAAAAAUGUGAUUUAUACCCAUAAGUUUUAAAAACUAUCAAAACUAACCAUAAGUUUGUAUUAGAAGCCAAUGGAUCUUCAUUGCAACAAAUAACUAGUGUCCAUGACAUUGGAGCAAUGCGAUAGUUUAGACUUUAGAGUGAGUGCAACAAACAUCAUUCCAUACAUCGUGAAGUAGACAAAGAACAUGACUUUGUUACCCUGGGCCAAUUGUUCAUCAUUUUCAUCAACAACCAUAUCAUCACUUUCAUAUUCACUGAAUAUUUCAUAACUACUUUGGUGUUCACGUAAAAAAAAUAUGUAAUACAACGCAAAUAACUACUAUAGAGGGUGUUUUUGUAAAAUAUAAAAGUUUGGUAUAAAAUUUAAAUUUUUAAAAGAUCCCAAAUAAUGAGAUUUGGUCCAAAUACUAAAAAAAACUAGUAUUUGAAAAUUUGGGAUAUUUGCCAAAUAAUGACAAAUUGUAUGAAACUAUUUGCCAAAUUUCCCCCCAAAUAUUACUUGGGAAAUCUAUGGCCAAACGGGCCCUAGGGAUUGCUUUUAUACUUAUCCCUAAACAUAAGGAACAUCGCAAAUUCUUGUACGUUCGAUUUUGAUUUGACAUAGAGCUUUUAAAUUAAAAAAUUAAAGAUACGGAAAAAAAAAGUUCUAAAAAAGAAUUUCUUCCUGAAAAAGUAACCUAUAAAACUCCAUCAACAAACUUCUCUUGUUUGGCCUUUUGCCAAUUUCAGAGAAGGAGAAGACAAAUACAACUUUUGUAUGUGGGAAAGCUUUUAACCUCAAAUUCAUUGAAAGAUGUUCCAAUUUUUUUUUGUCCAAAAGGUUCAUCAAUGUUUGGUGAUCAAAAAUUCAAAGACACAAAUUCUGUAGAACAACUUGAGGUUCAUACAAAAAAGUUCACUCCUUUUGUCUGAUUCUUGUUUUCUUUAGAUUUUAAAAUCAAGAUUCACCUUACCCAUUAUUAAACUUGGUGGACUAUAUGUAUGGGGGUGGGUGUGGAGUGGAUGAAGUGAACAAAAUGGCAGCAGUUGCAGUUGGAAAUGGGGGUGAGAUAUGGAAAGCCCAUGGUGCAAUGGUUUUGGUACAGCUUUUCAAUGGUGGUUACCAUGUGAUUACUAAGGUGGCUCUCAAUGUGGGCAUGAAUGAAAUUGUCUUCUGUUUGUAUAGAGAUCUUAUUGCUAUAGCUAUUCUUGCCCCAAUUGCCUAUUUCCGUGAAAAGUUAGUUCUUUUGUCUUUACAUAUAUUCCCCUUUUUACAUGUUUCUUUUAAAUUUUCCAUCCAAGUAGUGUAUUAGUCUCUCUAUCUCUGUGGAGAAAAUACCUGAUUCCUUCUUCUUUGUAAACAAGGAGUGGUCAUAGGCACUUUGUGAGUAUCCUGCACUAGUCAAUGCAGUUGUAAGCUUAAUGUUGCGUUGUCUUGAAGCCUGCUUCGACCCAUACGAUGACAUAACUGGCCUACAAACUUUCUUUCCCCCCUGUUUGUGGAAACUGGAAACCUUGUGGCAAACUCAUAUAGACUUCCUCAGAUAAAUUAUCAUGUAAGGCAUUGGACAAUUGAAUUGAUGUACAUGUAAAUCAUGAAUAGCUGCUCCUCUCUGUGGAGGAUCCCCCACCUUCCUUUUUCUCUUUAUUCUUUUUGUGGUCACAUAGCAGAGAUAUAUUUAUCUAUGCAAAAACAGGCACCCUCUAGCAUACAGUGCUAGACAGAAUACCAACAUUUAACACAAGCUCACAAUCUUAUGACAUAUGAACCUGUCUCACCAAUACCAUCAGAAUCACUUUGCCUACUCUUUCGUGGCUUCUUUUUGGAAUUCAAUGUAGAAGAAGUAGUUUACCUUGGAUUACUGUUGGGCGCGUCCAGUAAAGACCAAGCAACAUGGAACCCAGUGAUUAUAAAAAGUUGCAGGUUGGCAGAAGAUAUACUUUUCGAUAAGGGGUAGAAAGUGUUGAUUAGGAGCACAUUUUUUAACAUUCCCACAUACUAUGUCAAUGCUACAGUCACCAACUAACUAACUGGAGAAUCGAAAAGACUCUAUGUAAUGGAACUUCUUAUGGGACUCAACAAAUGGAGAUAGGAAGUUUUACUUAGGUUGGGAGAUUGUCACAUCCCCAAAGAGUUGGGGAGCCUUGGGUGAAGUUUUCCUUGUUUUGAACAAUACUCUUUUAGGAAAGUGGAUGUCGAGGUUGCGAAUCAAGAAGCACCACCUCUCUGGAGGGAUGUGAUAAUGGAAAAAUAUGGGACCGAGGAAGGAGGUUGGAGGACUAAAAACAUUAAAAUUUCAUUGAAGUGCAAACUUUGGAGGAAUAUUAUGAAGGAGUUGGAGGAGUUCAAUGUCAACAUAACAUUUCAAGAUUGAAGAUGAAGCAGAAUCGGUUUUUGAGAUCACGGGUAGGACAGCAAAAAAACACAUAAAAGGAGAUGCUAGUACAACAUCUUCCGAGUUCAGUAGAGGGGAAUUCAUUGGAACCUAGGUUCAAGAGAAACCUAGGAUUGGGAGCUCGCUGGAUUUCAAGUCUACUUGAAAUGAUCUACAAGCAAAAUACAUCACAUGUUGGCCAAGAUAUAUAAGUGGGAGAGGGGAUAGAUGAAUUGUUCAUGGUUAAGUCUUAAACCAUAAGCUUUUGGUAAGGAACUAGUCGGGUUUCCGCUACUUACGGCUUGAAUUCCUAGGGCGUCAAGGAAAAUAAGCUUCUUUACAUGGUUUGCAUCAAGGGAGGGAUCUUAACAGCUGAAAUUUUGAGAAAUACAUCAACUCGUAUUCUUGCAGAAAUUCGGGCAGAGACAUAGAUCACCUACUCUUGUUCUGCAAGGUAGAAACUCUCUUAUGUGGGAGAUCUUGAAAAGUUUCGGAUUACAGUUGAUAUGAUACUAGGCAUAAUGAAGAAGGCAUUAUUCAACUAGUUCUUUAAAGGGAGGAGAAGACGAAGGGCGUGUGAUGUGGCUCCAUUAGGACUAAUGUGGGUCAUGUGCAAGGAAAGAAAUAUGAGAGCCUUCAAGGGGAUAGGAAAUGAUCUUGUAUAUUAGAGGAACGACCUAUUAUUCCCUAAUUCGUAGUAUCUUUUUGGUGCUUCUGUGAAGUUUUAGUUUGUGUAGAAGACUUGGAGGUUCUUUUUAACUAGAAAGUCUAAAACAUCAUGGAAUAAAAGAUUUCGUGACGUUUGUGCAAAAUCAUAUUCUUUUGUAGAUUCUCUACCCUUUUAUGUUUUUGAUGAAUCUGAUAUACUGCUUAUAUACUGGAGGCUUUUCUACUGUUAAUAAAAUUAUUUUACCUUAUAAAAGGAGUAGCUUAGUCUUUGAUCAGAUGAAACUAUUUGAUGCUGCAAUAUCAUCUAUUUUGUGUUUAUUAGAGAGUUAUGGACUGCCCCUUGUAAGUUCGACUCAAAAUUGUACCAUAUUGCUUCUUGGAGAUUUGUGAUAAUAGCCAAUCUUUUUUUUUUUUGGGGGGCCGAGCGGACAAGGAAUAGAUUUUUGUUAAAAAUUUGUCAGUCAACCUUGAUAAAAGUAGCUAUUGCUAAUAAUUUCUGCGCUUUUAUACUAUUUUAACCCUAUAGGAAUUUCUCUAUGUACAGGAGGUCAAGGCUUCCUCUGAGUAAACGACUACUACUGUCAUUCUUCAUUUUAGGAUUAACUGGGUGAGUUUUGAUGUCCUAAGCAUGUAUGUUUGGAUUUGUUUAGUUAAUUUCCUUAGUUUUGUUAUACUUGAUAAAAUACUAUUCCUGAAAACUCUUUUUUCCUCUGUUGGUAUUGUGACAGUAUUUUCGGUAACCAACUGUUGUUCCUUGUUGGACUUGGCUACACAAAUCCGACUUACGCUGCUGCGUUGCAACCUGCAAUACCAGUCUUUACGUUCAUACUUGCUGUACUUAUGGGGUCAGUAAACUUUUACUCCCUUCAUCUCUGGAUUUUGUAUCUGUCUCCAUCACCCCCGUUUCUUGCAUGUCCUGGGUGUUGAGUGAAUCUUCUGUUGCUUAACUUUGUGAGCUGUAUAAAAUCAUAGUUCUAUCAAGUGUCAAAUGUUGUAUUCUUAAUACCAAAAUUGCUUUGUGCUUUAAGUUGGAGCAAUCUCAAAUACUUUCUUUUGUGCAUAGAAUGAGAAUAAUUACAAUCAACUGUAGAAUCUAUAUCCUCUAAAUUUCUUAAUUGAAAUAUUUUCAUUUUUCCAAAACCUAUAGUUAUUCUCUGUAACUGGGGAAUGCUUGAAUGGAUCUCAAAAGGGUAAACUUUCAGGAAAUUUGUUUAUGUGGUGCUGUUUUGGAAACAUUUGAGGUGAAAGGGUGUUUCUGUUUGCCAAAAAACAACCUAGGUGCUCCUUUAUUUAUUUUAAUAGUGUACCAUUUAAACUGUAAUUUUAUGAUCAAUGAUAGAGUACAGGGUGUAGUUCAUUGUCAAGGUAACACCUGAAGUGGAUCACAGAGGACAUGGUGCUGUUGCAGAAUAGUUUAGUGGAAAUGAGACGGGCAUCUAUGAUGUGGAGAAACUUUAAUGCCUUAAUUUAGUUGAGAUGCAGGCGGUUUCCCUUGGGGAUCUCUCGGUAUAAAAAAAGUGGAAAUGCAAGGGACGGGCUUUUGAAUAAAGUAUUCACUGUGAAGUAGUCCAUGUUCCCUGCUUUUUAAGUCAUCGGUCAUUACAGGAAGGAACAUGAGCUAGUCCAUUGUGCAUUUCUAGAAUUGUCACAUAACUUAUCUGUCGCAGUUGUUGACCUGCUCAAUAUCAUUCAUAUGUGUUAUUUAUGCAGUACAGAAACUGCGAAGCUUCUUACUAUGGAAGGCCAGGCAAAAGUUGGAGGUACCAUUGUUUGUGUUUCUGGGGCGAUUUUGAUGGCUGUAUUCCGUGGUACAGCGGUGUUUGGAGACGGCACAUCAGACUUCACAGCACAAAUUGAGACAAGUGCUAAGGGUCAAUCAGAGCCUGCUGGAUGGCUAAUGUCUAGUUUUCUGGAGUUGGGAUUUGAUAAUUGGCACCUGGGCGUCUUAUGCUUAAUAGGAAACUGUAUGUGCAUGGCAGCAUACAUAGCUUUUCAGGUAACUAGAUAAUCAUUUCAAUUGUUAAUUCAGAUUGGCUUGAUUGUAAUAAAUAGCAGACCGUUCUCAAUGAUUAUACUGAAAAGCUAUGCGCAUAUAUAAUUUACAUAUAUAUCUAGUCAUCCCUUAAAAAGUUUUCCCCCGAUCUUCCUUGUAUAUUGGACCUUUCACGAUGGACCUCCUUCUUUAAUAAUAUGCUCAUGAAGGUGAUUUUCACAUGCUUUGGGUGAGUGGCCUGUGAUGCACUAGCAUUUGCAGGCGGGCCUUUGAAAUUGUGAAAUUGGUAUUGAGUGAAUUUAUACAACUGAUUGAAACCUGAUAAAAAGGUUUAAUGUACUAACAAUCUUUGAAAAGAAAAAUCUUGCUAUGUGAAAUACAGAUGUAGCUUACCUUGUAAAAAGUAUUAAAUGUAACUUAAUUAUGUCUAAUACCCCUUCCAUCAUUUUCUUUCUUGUCUAGGGAUUUAAUUUUCGCUCUCACGGUUCUUAGGAAAGGCUGGUAAUGGUUUGUUGAUUCAUCUUGAUUGUUGAUUGGUUUGCUUUUGUACAAUCUCAACUAUAGUCUAGUGGGUUUAUUUCUUUCUUUUUCUAUUUUCUUCUUUUGUUGGGGGUGAAGAUGACAAAGAGGUUGCUUAAAUUUGAAUUGCCUUUUAGUAUCACUGUUUGCUUACAGGAACAACUCUUAUGUCCUAAAAUGAAAAUGAAACCUAUAUAUCUAGAUGGUCUUUCAAUAGGAAGUAUAAUGUCCUUUACCUUUGCCCUUACAUUUUAUCAUUUCAUAGAAGAUUUAAAAUAAUGUCCUUUACCCUUUCCUUGUUAAAGGUGAUCACGUUCAGUUUCAUGAUAUUCUCUCCUAUUUGGUUUCUGCUCUUGUGAACUUUGAUCUACCAAUUGCUAUUCAUCUGAAAGAGAUCAAUUUGCUCAUCUUGCCACUUUGUUGGACACCUUUUACUUAAUCUUAGACCUGUUAAGUUUUGAUUAUGUAAAGUAAUCCAGAUUAUAUAAAUUAAUGAUCAUUUGAUAAUUGGUUAAGAAAGAUUACAUUAAUGAACAAUAGCUAGAUACUAAUUCC